AUUCAAAUAGUUUAUUAAAAUGUUGAUUUGUGGAGUCAGAGAUAUAUAGAUUUUUAUAUUUUGAAUA
RNAcentral lists this transfer RNA (67 nucleotides) under Agapanthia amurensis. RNAcentral's name for it is "tRNA-His". Lineage: Eukaryota; Metazoa; Arthropoda; Insecta; Coleoptera; Cerambycidae. The record is from RNAcentral.